ACGGAGGGUGCAAGCGUUAAUCGGAAUUACUGGGCGUAAAGCGCACGUAGGCGGUCAUUUAAGUCGGAUGUGAAAUCCCCGGGCUCAACCUGGGAACUGCAUACGAUACUGGAUGGCUAGAGUAUGGCAGAGGGGAGUGGAAUUCCAGGUGUAGCGGUGAAAUGCGUAGAUAUCUGGAGGAACAUCAGUGGCGAAGGCGACUCCCUGGGUUAAUACUGACGCUGAGGUGCGAAAGCGUGGGGAGCAAACAGG
RNAcentral lists this ribosomal RNA (252 nucleotides) under uncultured bacterium. RNAcentral's name for it is "partial 16S ribosomal RNA". It matches the Rfam family "Bacterial small subunit ribosomal RNA", at positions 525 to 776 of the family's 1533-position model. The record is from RNAcentral.